This is a long non-coding RNA of Hordeum vulgare subsp. vulgare (domesticated barley), 866 nucleotides long. RefSeq lists it as uncharacterized. The record is from RefSeq and is a predicted model, not a curated record. The transcript is spliced from 2 exons. NCBI's taxonomy places the organism in Eukaryota, Viridiplantae, Streptophyta, Magnoliopsida, Poales, Poaceae.
CCAAGUUCCUAUUCACAUGAGACGAAUCUGCUGUUGUUCUAUCUGAGAUGUUAAUCACUGCAGGUGGAACUUGUGCAGACUGAAACUCUGAUUGGCUUAUCGAUCCUAGAGUAACCACUUUUCUCUUGUGGUUAUUUAGUGUCAUAUUCUGUAGGAUGAGUUUCGGUGUUUGCUGAAUCUCAGCAUUCAUUUCUGCCAGCUUAUUUCCCACCCGAGGCAUGGUUACUUACCAUUUCUGCUCGCUGUUGAUUCACCUCUUCCUUCAAUUCCUUCAGAUCUCCUAACUCAGCUCGAAGAUUUGCUACUUCUUUCUCGACCCCAUCCACCGUAAUCUGAACUUUGGCGCGUGUAUCUGCCAUCUCAGAUCGGAUAUGAGCCCAACUCCUGAGAGGUCAUGCGGAGGGACAGAUCAACUCCAGGGACAUGGAUUUUACCACGAGGAGUGUGUCUCCGCGCAACCUUCCUCGGCUCGUCGAUCUGUGCCCAAAUGAACGCCGCCGCCACGCUCGCCCCCACACUGGUCGUCACCUCGACGGUGGGAAUAUCUCAGCCGAUGAGGUUCCUCUUAUCAAGCCCGACAGUUCUCCGCCGUCGGUCGGAUCCGUUGCCUCGUCCCCCAACUCUUUUGAUAAACGGUGAUCAUCCUUUGAAGAUUUGGGAGCCUUGAAAGAAAUGGGGCUGCCAAUUUUUUCUAUUUUUUCUAAAGAAAAAUCUCAGCUUGUGAUGUUUGUUCAAUGUUAGAUUUGUCAUUUGUGAAGGUGAAAUCUUGUUUCGUGAAAUAUGAAAGCGAUUGAUGGUUCAUAUAGAAAUGAUUUGUUUCUUCUGAAAUUCAGUCAAUGCAAAGCGAAAUCUGGUUUUGUGAUAAA